UGUCACAAUGACUCUCGGCAACGGAUAUCUCGGCUCUUGCAUCGAUGAAGAACGUAGCGAAAUGCGAUACUUGGUGUGAAUUGCAGAAUCCCGUGAACCAUUGAGUCUUUGAAGGCAAGUUGCAUGCGAAGCCAUUAGGUUGAGGGCACGYCUGCCUGGGUGUCAGAC
RNAcentral lists this ribosomal RNA (168 nucleotides) under Physostigma venenosum. Its description in RNAcentral is "5.8S ribosomal RNA". It matches the Rfam family "5.8S ribosomal RNA". From Rfam's summary of the family: 5.8S ribosomal RNA (5.8S rRNA) is a component of the large subunit of the eukaryotic ribosome. It is transcribed by RNA polymerase I as part of the 45S precursor that also contains 18S and 28S rRNA. The record is from RNAcentral. Lineage: Eukaryota; Viridiplantae; Streptophyta; Magnoliopsida; Fabales; Fabaceae.